UGGUUGUCUCAACAAGAGCAAAACCUGAGGGAACACUGCUUUGCUUUAUAUUUGAAGAUUCUAGUUUGACUGGUCAAAGGAACAUGAGAUCAGUUGCCUAUGUGAUGUUUUCCACCCAUCAGGAAUGGGAGAAGCUGUCACGUGGUUGAUCUUUGGUACUCAGACCCUGCAGCCAAAUUGUUGGCUGAGCUUUUCAGCCCCUAUCCAGAUCUCGAGGGCCUGUGGAGACACAGUGCUGUUUCUCCCUGCCUCAAUCCUGCUGCUGUUGACCACUGUUUUGAGGAGUGGAAAGAAGUUUUCAGGAGGCAAGAGGGCAAGGACAAUUCUCCAGCAUCUUUUCUUUUGGUCUAAGAGGAGGAAGAGAGGAGGAAUGGAUACUGCUUAGCUACAUCAGGGCAAGGUGCAAAGGAGCUUCAGAGGCUCAGACCAUGUGGAGUCUGUUGUCAUCUCCACAUGAAAGUGAAAGUCUGCCAGGGGAGGACAAUGUUAUCUUCUGUAUGGAAAAUGCUUAUCUGAACAUGUAACCUAACCCAUUUCUCUGGCUGAACGUGAAGAACAACUCCUGAAGAAGUUUGAACUC
Neopelma chrysocephalum (saffron-crested tyrant-manakin) is the source of this 580-nucleotide long non-coding RNA. RefSeq lists it as uncharacterized. Lineage: Eukaryota; Metazoa; Chordata; Aves; Passeriformes; Pipridae. The record is from RefSeq and is a predicted model, not a curated record. The transcript is spliced from 4 exons.